RNAcentral lists this ribosomal RNA (253 nucleotides) under uncultured bacterium. RNAcentral describes it as "partial 16S ribosomal RNA". It matches the Rfam family "Bacterial small subunit ribosomal RNA", at positions 524 to 776 of the family's 1533-position model. The record is from RNAcentral.
UACGUAGGGGGCAAGCGUUGUCCGGAUUUAUUGGGCGUAAAGAGCGUGUAGGCGGCUAGGCAGGUCCGUUGUGAAAACUCGAGGCUCAACCUCGAGACGUCGAUGGAAACCAUCUAGCUAGAGUCCGGAAGAGGAGAGUGGAAUUCCUGGUGUAGCGGUGAAAUGCGCAGAUAUCAGGAAGAACACCCGUGGCGAAGGCGGCUCUCUGGUACGUGACUGACGCUGAGACGCGAAAGCGUGGGGAGCGAACAGG